This 353-nucleotide unclassified non-coding RNA is filed under the name soil metagenome. RNAcentral describes it as "partial contains 5.8S ribosomal RNA, internal transcribed spacer 2, and large subunit ribosomal RNA". The stretch from base 1 to 120 matches the Rfam family "5.8S ribosomal RNA", at positions 35 to 154 of the family's 154-position model. The record is from RNAcentral.
GAUGAAGAACGCAGCGAAAUGCGAUAAGUAAUGUGAAUUGCAGAAUUCAGUGAAUCAUCGAAUCUUUGAACGCACAUUGCGCCCGCCAGUAUUCUGGCGGGCAUGCCUGUUCGAGCGUCAUUACAACCCUCAGGCCCCCGGGCCUGGCGUUGGGGAUCGGCGGAGCCCCCCGUGGGCACACGCCGUCCCCCAAAUGCAGUGGCGGUCCCGCCGCAGCUUCCAUCGCGUAGUAGCUAACACCUCGCGACUGGAGAGCGGCGCGGCCACGCCGUAAAACACCCAACUCUUCUGAAUGUUGACCUCGAAUCAGGUAGGAAUACCCGCUGAACUUAAGCAUAUCAAUAAGCGGAGGA